GACGAACGCUGGCGGCGUGCUUAACACAUGCAAGUCGAACGGAAAGGCCCUGCUUGCGGGGUACUCGAGUGGCGAAGGGGGGAGUAAAACGGGGGUGAUCUGCCCUGAACUUCGGGUUAAGCCUGGGAAACGGGGCCAAAUACGGGAAAUGACUUUCCCUGUAGGGUGGGGGGUGGAAAGAUUUAUCGGUGGGGGAUGGGCCCGCGGCCUAUCAGCUUGUUGGUGGGGUAAUGGCCUACCAAGGCGUCGACGGGUAGCCGGCCUGAGAGGGUGGACGGCCACAUUGGGACUGAGAUACGGCCCAGACUCCUACGGGAGGCAGCAGUGGGGAAUAUUGCACAAUGGGCGGAAGCCUGAUGCAGCGACGCCGCGUGGGGGAUGACGGCCUUCGGGUUGUAAACCUCUUUCGACAGGGACGAAGCUUCGGUGACGGUACCUGUAUAAGAAGCACCGGCUAACUACGUG
Molecule: ribosomal RNA, 465 nt
Filed under: uncultured bacterium
Lineage: Bacteria
Description: partial 16S ribosomal RNA
Rfam family: Bacterial small subunit ribosomal RNA
Source: RNAcentral